This 74-nucleotide transfer RNA is filed under the name Planctomycetota bacterium. RNAcentral describes it as "Planctomycetes bacterium (marine metagenome) tRNA-His". It matches the Rfam family "tRNA". Rfam says of the family: Transfer RNA (tRNA) molecules are approximately 80 nucleotides in length. Their secondary structure includes four short double-helical elements and three loops (D, anti-codon, and T loops). Further hydrogen bonds mediate the characteristic L-shaped molecular structure. tRNAs have two regions of fundamental functional importance: the anti-codon, which is responsible for specific mRNA codon recognition, and the 3' end, to which the tRNAs corresponding amino acid is attached (by aminoacyl-tRNA synthetases). tRNAs cope with the degeneracy of the genetic code in two manners: having more than one tRNA (with a specific anti-codon) for a particular amino acid; and 'wobble' base-pairing, i.e. permitting non-standard base-pairing at the 3rd anti-codon position. Lineage: Bacteria; Pseudomonadati; Planctomycetota. The record is from RNAcentral.
GUGUUCGUGGUGUAGCGGUCACUGCAUACCUGGCUGUGAACCAGGAGGUAAGGGUUCGACUCCCUUCGGGCACC